RNAcentral lists this ribosomal RNA (438 nucleotides) under uncultured bacterium. RNAcentral describes it as "partial 16S ribosomal RNA". It matches the Rfam family "Bacterial small subunit ribosomal RNA", at positions 338 to 794 of the family's 1533-position model. The record is from RNAcentral.
CCUACGGUGUGCAGCAGUGGGGAAUAUUGCACAAUGGGCGAAAGCCUGAUGCAGCAACGCCGCGUGAGCGAUGAAGGCCUUCGGGUCGUAAAGCUCUGUCCUCAAGGAAGAUAAUGACGGUACUUGAGGAGGAAGCCCCGGCUAACUACGUGCCAGCAGCCGCGGUAAUACGUAGGGGGCUAGCGUUAUCCGGAAUUACUGGGCGUAACGGGUGCGGAGGUGGUUUCUUAAGUCAGGGGGGAAAGGCUACGGCUCAACCGUAGUAAGCCUUUGAAACUGGGAAACUUGAGGGAAGGAGAGGGGAGGGGAAUUCCUAGUGUAGCGGUGACAUGCGUAGAUAUUAGGAGGAACACCAGUUGCGAAGGCGGCUCUCUGGACUGUAACUGACACUGAGGCACGAAAGCGUGGGGAGCAAACAGGAUUAGAUACCCGGGUAGU